Molecule: ribosomal RNA, 434 nt
Filed under: uncultured Clostridium sp.
Lineage: Bacteria; Bacillati; Bacillota; Clostridia; Eubacteriales; Clostridiaceae
Description: partial 16S ribosomal RNA
Rfam family: Bacterial small subunit ribosomal RNA
Source: RNAcentral
ACGGGAGGCAGCAGUGGGGAAUAUUGGACAAUGGGGGAAACCCUGAUCCAGCGACGCCGCGUGAGUGAAGAAGUAUUUCGGUAUGUAAAGCUCUAUCAGCAAGGAAGAAAAUGACGGUACUUGACUAAGAAGCCCCGGCUAACUACGUGCCAGCAGCCGCGGUAAUACGUAGGGGGCAAGCGUUAUCCGGAUUUACUGGGUGUAAAGGGAGCGCAGACGGCUUUGCAAGUCUGAUGUGAAAGGCAGGGGCUCAACUCCUGGACUGCAUUGGAAACUGUAGGGCUAGAGUGUCGGAGAGGUAAGCGGAAUUCCUAGUGUAGCGGUGAAAUGCGUAGAUAUUAGGAGGAACACCAGUGGCGAAGGCGGCUUACUGGACGAUAACUGACGUUGAGGCUCGAAAGCGUGGGGAGCAAACAGGAUUAGAUACCCUGGUA